UGAGGAAUAUUGGUCAAUGGGCGCAGGCCUGAACCAGCCAAGUAGCGUGAAGGAUGACUGCCCUAUGGGUUGUAAACUUCUUUUAUAAAGGAAUAAAGUCGGGUAUGUAUACCCGUUUGCAUGUACUUUAUGAAUAAGGAUCGGCUAACUCCGUGCCAGCAGCCGCGGUAAUACGGAGGAUCCGAGCGUUAUCCGGAUUUAUUGGGUUUAAAGGGAGCGUAGAUGGAUGUUUAAGUCAGUUGUGAAAGUUUGCGGCUCAACCGUAAAAUUGCAGUUGAUACUGGCAGUCUUGAGUACAGUAGAGGUAGGCGGAAUUCCCGGUGUAGCGGUGGAAUGCGUAGAUAUCGGGAGGAACACCAGUGGCGAAGGCGGCCUACUGGGCACCAACUGACGCUGAGGCUCGAAAGUGUGGGUAGCAAACAGGAUUAGAUACCCUGGUAGUCCACACCGUAAACGAUGAUUACUAGGUGUUGGAGGAUUGACCCCUUCAGUGCCGCAGUUAACACAAUAAGUAAUCCACCUGGGGAGUACGACCGCAAGGUUGAAACUCAAAGGAAUUGACGGGGGCCCGCACAAGCAGUGGAGUAUGUGGUUUAAUUCGACGCAACGCGAAGAACCUUACCAAGUCUUGACAUAUACAUGAAAGCCUAAGAGAUUAGGCCCCUCUUCGGAGCGUGUAUACAGGUGAUGCAUGGUUGUCGUCAGCUCGUGUCGUGAGAUGUUAGGUUAAGUCCUGCAACGAGCGCAACCCUCGUGAUUAGUUGCCUGAAGAAGGAACUCUAAUCAGACUGCCGUAGUUAAUACGGAGGAAGGUGAGGAUGAUGUCAAAUCAUCACGUCCCUUAUGUCUUGGGCUACACACGUACUACAAUGGGUGUUACAGAAAGAAGCGAAACCGCGAGGUGGAGCAAAACUCAGAAAAGCACCCCUAGUUCGGAUUGGAGGCUGCAACCCGCCUCCAUGAAGCUGGAAUUGCUAGUAAUCACAGGUCAGCAUACUGUGGUGAAUACGUUCCC
Molecule: ribosomal RNA, 1015 nt
Filed under: uncultured bacterium
Lineage: Bacteria
Description: bacterial SSU rRNA
Rfam family: Bacterial small subunit ribosomal RNA
Source: RNAcentral